Molecule: ribosomal RNA, 1158 nt
Filed under: uncultured bacterium
Lineage: Bacteria
Description: bacterial SSU rRNA
Rfam family: Bacterial small subunit ribosomal RNA
Source: RNAcentral
UCCUACGGGAGGCAGCAGUGGGGAAUAUUGGGCAAUGGGGGGAACCCUGACCCAGCAACGCCGCGUGAAGGAAGAAGGUCUUCGGAUUGUAAACUUCUUUGAUGAGGGACGAAGUAAGUGACGGUACCUCAAAAACAAGCCACGGCUAACUACGUGCCAGCAGCCGCGGUAAUACGUAGGUGGCGAGCGUUGUCCGGAAUUACUGGGUGUAAAGGGCGUGUAGGCGGGGAUGCAAGUCAGAUGUGAAAUACCGAGGCUUAACCUCGGGGCUGCAUCUGAAACUGUGUUUCUUGAGUGUCGGAGAGGAAAGCGGAAUUCCUGGUGUAGCGGUGAAAUGCGUAGAGAUCAGGAGGAACACCGGUGGCGAAGGCGGCUUUCUGGACGACAACUGACGCUGAGGCGCGAAAGCGUGGGGAGCAAACAGGAUUAGAUACCCUGGUAGUCCACGCCGUAAACGAUGGAUACUAGGUGUAGGAGGUAUCGACCCCUUCUGUGCCGGAGUUAACACAAUAAGUAUCCCACCUGGGGAGUACGGCCGCAAGGCUGAAACUCAAAGGAAUUGACGGGGGCCCGCACAAGCAGUGGAGUAUGUGGUUUAAUUCGAAGCAACGCGAAGAACCUUACCAGGGCUUGACAUACAGACGGAUGGUGUGGAAACACAUCAGACCUUCGGGACGUCUGUACAGGUGGUGCAUGGUUGUCGUCAGCUCGUGUCGUGAGAUGUUGGGUUAAGUCCCGCAACGAGCGCAACCCCUGUUGUUAGUUGCCAUCAUUAAGUUGGGCACUCUAACGAGACUGCCGGUGACAAAUCGGAGGAAGGUGGGGACGACGUCAAAUCAUCAUGCCCCUUAUGUCCUGGGCUACACACGUACUACAAUGGCUAUUACAGCAGGAAGCGAAGGAGUAAUCCGGAGCAGAUCCCAAAAAAUAGUCCCAGUUCGGAUUGUGGGCUGCAACUCGCCCACAUGAAGUCGGAAUUGCUAGUAAUGGCAGGUCAGCAUACUGCCGUGAAUACGUUCCCGGGCCUUGUACACACCGCCCGUCACACCAUGAGAGUCUGCAACACCCGAAGUCAGUAGUCUAACGUUUUUUAACGAAACGAGGGCGCUGCCGAAGGUGGGGCAGAUGAUUGGGGGUGAAGUCGUAACAAGGUAGCCA